RNAcentral lists this ribosomal RNA (468 nucleotides) under uncultured bacterium. RNAcentral describes it as "partial 16S ribosomal RNA". It matches the Rfam family "Bacterial small subunit ribosomal RNA", at positions 28 to 507 of the family's 1533-position model. The record is from RNAcentral.
GACGAACGCUGGCGGCGUGCUUAACACAUGCAAGUCGAACGGAAAGGCCCUGCUUUUGUGGGGUGCUCGAGUGGCGAACGGGUGAGUAACACGUGAGUAACCUGCCCUUGACUUUGGGAUAACUUCAGGAAACUGGGGCUAAUACCGGAUAGGAGCUCCUGCUGCAUGGUGGGGGGUGGAAAGUUUCGGCGGUUGGGGAUGGACUCGCGGCUUAUCAGCUUGUUGGUGGGGUAGUGGCUUACCAAGGCUUUGACGGGUAGCCGGCCUGAGAGGGUGACCGGCCACAUUGCGACUGAGAUACGCCCCAGACUCCUACGGGAGGCAGCAGUGGGGAAUAUUGCACAAUGGGCGGAAGCCUGAUGCAGCAACGCCGCGUGCGGGAUGACGGCCUUCGGGUUGUAAACCGCUUUCGCCUGUGACGAAGCGUGAGUGACGGUAAUGGGUAAAGAAGCACCGGCUAACUACGUG